Long non-coding RNA from Tachyglossus aculeatus (Australian echidna), 364 nucleotides. RefSeq lists it as uncharacterized. The transcript is spliced from 3 exons. NCBI's taxonomy places the organism in Eukaryota, Metazoa, Chordata, Mammalia, Monotremata, Tachyglossidae. The record is from RefSeq and is a predicted model, not a curated record.
UGACAUGGUGCCCUGCCCUGGGAACCUCGCUAUCCCUAACACUUGAGACUGGCUCUCACUUGUCCUUUGCUCUUGAAGGGUAGGUCAUCAUGAGUCUCCGGUCCCUAAAUUGAACAAAUUCCUCUGGAGUUUCUUCAUGUUUCCCACCUGCAUAAGUCUCUUCUGGUAACAAGCUUUAGAUUUUUCAGGUUCUCUGCGUUCCAGAUGCAAGGGCAGAGGCCAGCCUGGAGAAGGAGUACUGUGGGAUUCGGGUCCUUCUGAAGGAGUUCAACAGCUAGGCAACCAACAGCCCCACAAGGAUGAGGUUUGAUAGUGAAUCCUUUCUUCGAGUGGUAGAAAACAACCAAAUGAAGGUCAAGAAAGA